This is a long non-coding RNA of Macadamia integrifolia, 646 nucleotides long. RefSeq lists it as uncharacterized. Lineage: Eukaryota; Viridiplantae; Streptophyta; Magnoliopsida; Proteales; Proteaceae. The record is from RefSeq and is a predicted model, not a curated record. The transcript is spliced from 3 exons.
GGGACCGAGGGGGGUAUAGCAUUUUACAUUUAAAAGGAAUUCAAGACUCUGCCCUUUCAUAUACUGAACCCUAAAAAUUCUGAGACAAUACUUUUUAUGGAACUUCAAUCAUGGUGGUUUAUGGUUCAACUCUUUUAUUCAGGACCUUCAAAAGCUUUGAAGAAAUCGCUGCUGACUAUGAAAAAGGAGAACUGCAUCCAGCAGACCUCAAACCUUCUCUAUCAAAGGCUUUAAAUAAGAUUUUGCAGCCUGUGAGAGAUCAUUUUGCAAAUGAUGCUACUGCCAGGGAUCUUCUGAAAAAAGUUAAGUCUUACAGAGUUGGCAGGUGAUGCAGUAGAGAGUCCAGAUACUUGUUUGGGUGGUUGCUGCAAACUCAGAACUUAUGGUUUAACCAGUCAGGCAUUUGAAUACCGAAUGUCCAUGGAACUGGGGUCUUUUUUUUUGAAAAACUUGAGUUAUUGACCAUAAAUUUACAAGCCAGGUAUAUUCUUUUCUAGAUAAAUGAAAAGUGGGAUUCGAAGUUCAGGUUUUAUUUGGAGUGCGAGCCUAAAUUCUUGGUUGUAACUUUGCUUGCUUUGUUCAUACAUUUUUGGCUUCCCUGAAAAAAUGUAGUUGUUUGGGAUGGAGGACAAAAGUUGAAAAUUAA